GCUUCUCUGAUGUUAGCGGCGGACGGGUGAGUAACACGUGGAUAACCUACCUAUAAGACUGGGAUAACUUCGGGAAACCGGAGCUAAUACCGGAUAAUAUUUUGAACCGCAUGGUUCAAAAGUGAAAGACGGUCUUGCUGUCACUUAUAGAUGGAUCCGCGCUGCAUUAGCUAGUUGGUAAGGUAACGGCUUACCAAGGCAACGAUGCAUAGCCGACCUGAGAGGGUGAUCGGCCACACUGGAACUGAGACACGGUCCAGACUCCUACGGGAGGCAGCAGUAGGGAAUCUUCCGCAAUGGGCGAAAGCCUGACGGAGCAACGCCGCGUGAGUGAUGAAGGUCUUCGGAUCGUAAAACUCUGUUAUUAGGGAAGAACAUAUGUGUAAGUAACUGUGCACAUCUUGACGGUACCUAAUCAGAAAGCCACGGCUAACUACGUGCCAGCAGCCGCGGUAAUACGUAGGUGGCAAGCGUUAUCCGGAAUUAUUGGGCGUAAAGCGCGCGUAGGCGGUUUUUUAAGUCUGAUGUGAAAGCCCACGGCUCAACCGUGGAGGGUCAUUGGAAACUGGAAAACUUGAGUGCAGAAGAGGAAAGUGGAAUUCCAUGUGUAGCGGUGAAAUGCGCAGAGAUAUGGAGGAACACCGGUGGCGAAGGCGACUUUCUGGUCUGUAACUGACGCUGAUGUGCGAAAGCGUGGGGAUCAAACAGGAUUAGAUACCUGGUAGUCCACGCCGUAAACGAUGAGUGCUAAGUGUUAGGGGGUUUCCGCCCCUUAGUGCUGCAGCUAACGCAUUAAGCACUCCGCCUGGGGAGUACGACCGCAAGGUUG
This 829-nucleotide ribosomal RNA is filed under the name uncultured Staphylococcus sp. Its description in RNAcentral is "bacterial SSU rRNA". It matches the Rfam family "Bacterial small subunit ribosomal RNA", at positions 79 to 896 of the family's 1533-position model. Lineage: Bacteria; Bacillati; Bacillota; Bacilli; Caryophanales; Staphylococcaceae. The record is from RNAcentral.